Molecule: ribosomal RNA, 292 nt
Filed under: uncultured bacterium
Lineage: Bacteria
Description: partial 16S ribosomal RNA
Rfam family: Bacterial small subunit ribosomal RNA
Source: RNAcentral
GUGCCAGCAGCCGCCGUAAUACAGAGGUCUCAAGCGUUGUUCGGAUUCAUUGGGCGUAAAGGGUGCGUAGGCGGCGCGGUAAGUCGGGUGUGAAAUCUCGGAGCUUAACUCCGAAACUGCACUUGAUACUGCUUCGCUAGAGUAUUGGAGAGGAGAUUGGAAUUUACGGUGUAGCAGUGAAAUGCGUAGAUAUCGUAAGGAAGACCAGUGGCGAAGGCGAAUCUCUGGACAAUUACUGACGCUGAGGCACGGAGGCCAGGGGAGCAAACGGGAUUAGAUACCCCAGUAGUCC